Molecule: unclassified non-coding RNA, 210 nt
Filed under: Hevea brasiliensis (rubber tree)
Lineage: Eukaryota; Viridiplantae; Streptophyta; Magnoliopsida; Malpighiales; Euphorbiaceae
Source: RNAcentral
UUCUUGUUGCCAUCUAGCCUCAUGUUGUUUCUGUAGUUUUUUAGCCUGUUCUAGAUCCUGUAGUUGCUGUGCAACCUUGCGUUUUUGAGCUGCAAGUUCUUCUUGUAGAAGGGUUUUCUGCUUCUCCCAUGACUGAAACUUCAUCAGAGUCAUCUUCUCCCUCUUUGAUACUUCUUGACAGCUUGCAGCUGACUCUGCUGCACGCAAUUU